GAUGAAGAACGCGGCGAAAUGCGAUAAGUAAUGUGAAUUGCAGAAUUCAGUGAAUCAUCGAAUCUUUGAACGCACAUUGCGCCCGCCAGUAUUCUGGCGGGCAUGCCUGUUCGAGCGUCAUUUCAACCAUCAAGCCCCCGGCUUGUGUUGGGGACCUGCGGCUGCCGCAGGCCCUGAAAAGCAGUGGCGGGCUCGCUGUCACACCGAGCGUAGUAGCAUACAUCUCGCUCUGGGCGUGCUGCGGGUUCCGGCCGUUAAACCACCUUCAUAACCCAAGGUUGACCUCGGAUCAGGUAGGAAGACCCGCUGAACUUAAGCAUAUCAAUAAGCGGAGA
This 335-nucleotide unclassified non-coding RNA is filed under the name soil metagenome. RNAcentral describes it as "partial contains 5.8S ribosomal RNA, internal transcribed spacer 2, and large subunit ribosomal RNA". The stretch from base 1 to 120 matches the Rfam family "5.8S ribosomal RNA", at positions 35 to 154 of the family's 154-position model. The record is from RNAcentral.